Molecule: ribosomal RNA, 253 nt
Filed under: uncultured bacterium
Lineage: Bacteria
Description: partial 16S ribosomal RNA
Rfam family: Bacterial small subunit ribosomal RNA
Source: RNAcentral
UACGGAGGAUGCAAGCGUUAUCCGGAAUGAUUGGGCGUAAAGCGUCCGCAGGUGGCAAUGUAAGUCUGCUGUCAAAGCGUCUGGCUCAACCAGAUACAGGCAGUGGAAACUACAUAGCUAGAGUAAGGUAGGGGUAGAGGGAAUUCCUGGUGUAGCGGUGAAAUGCGUAGAGAUUGGGAAGAACACCGGUGGCGAAAGCGCUCUGCUGGGCCAUAACUGACACUCAGGGACGAAAGCUAGGGGAGCGAAUGGG